Phrynosoma platyrhinos (Desert horned lizard) is the source of this 72-nucleotide non-coding RNA. NCBI's taxonomy places the organism in Eukaryota, Metazoa, Chordata, Lepidosauria, Squamata, Phrynosomatidae. The record is from the annotation of a GenBank genome assembly.
GCCAGUGUGAUGUAGUGGUUUGAAAGCUGGACUACAACUCUGGAGACCAUGGUUCAAAUCUCUGCUCAAGCA